Molecule: non-coding RNA, 438 nt
Organism: Pelobates cultripes (western spadefoot toad)
Lineage: Eukaryota; Metazoa; Chordata; Amphibia; Anura; Pelobatidae
Source: the annotation of a GenBank genome assembly
UGUGUGUGUGUCUGUCAGUAGGUCUGUGUGUGUGAGUAUGACUGUGUGUGUGUGUGUCUGUCAGUAGGUCUGUGUGUGUGUGUCUGUCAGUAGGUCUGUGUGUGUGAGUAUGACUGUGUGUGUGAGUAGGUCUGUGUGUGUGUGUCUGUCAGUAGGUCUGUGUGUGUGUGUGUGUGUCUGUCAGUAGGUCUGUGUGUGUGAGUAUGACUGUGUGUGUGUCUAUCCGUAGGUCUGUGUGUGUGUGGCUCUGUCGUAGGUCUGUGUGUGUGAGUGACUGUGUGUGUGUGUGCGUCUGUCAGUGGUCUGUGUGUGUAGGUAUGACUGUGUGUGUGUGUCUGUCAGUAGGUCUGUGUGUGUGUCUGUCAAGUAGGUCUGUGUGUGUGUGUGUGUCUGUCACUUCUGUAGGUCUGUGUGUGUGUGUCUGUCAGUAGGUCUGUG